UGAAUACGAGACGCUAAGGCGUCGAAGUAGUGUAUGUCAUACUUCCAAGAAAAGCUUGCACUGUCAUAGAUAAAAAACGCCUGUACCAUAACCGACACAGGUGGGUAGGUAGAGUAUACUAAGGGGCGCGAGAUAACUCUCUCUAAGGAACUCGGCAAAAUAACUCCGUAACUUCGGGAGAAGGAGUGCCUUAUUCUUAAGGUUGCGAUAACAAGAUCCAAGCAACUGUUUAUCAAAAACACAGGUCUCCGCUAAGUCGUAAGACGAUGUAUGGGGGCUGACGCCUGCCCAGUGCCAGAAGGUUAAAGAAGCUGGUUAGCAUUUGCGAAGCUAGUAACUGAAGCCCUGGUGAACGGCGGCCGUAACAAUAACGGUCCUAAGGUAGCGAAAUUCCUUGUCGGGUAAGUUCCGACCCGCACGAAAGGCGUAAUGAUUUGGAUACUGUCUCGGAGAGGGGCUCGGUGAAAUAGACUUGUCUGUGAAGAUGCGGACUACCUGCACCAGGACAGAAAGACCCUAUGAAGCUUUACUGUAACUUGAAAUUGAAAUUGGACUUUAUUCGCGCAGUAUAGGUGGGAGGCGUUGAUUAUAAUCUUGCGGGAUUAUUGGAGCCAUUAGUGAGAUACCACUCUUGUAAUGUUAGAUUUCUAACUUUGAAUCAUUAUCUGGUCAAAGAACAGUUUCAGGCGGGCAGUUUGACUGGGGCGGUCGCCUCCCAAACGGUAACGGAGGCGUACAAAGGUUUCCUCUGAACGGUUAGAAAUCGUAUCUAGAGUGUAAAGGCAUAAGGAAGCUUGACUGUGAGACCUACAAGUCGAGCAGGGACGAAAGUCGGUCUUAGUGAUCUGACGGUACUGAGUGGAAAGGCCGUCACUCAACGGAUGAAAGUUACUCUAGGAUAACAGGCUGAUCUCCCCCAAGAGUUCACAUCGACGGGGAGGUUUGGCACCUCGAUGUCGGCUCAUCGCAUCCUGGGGCGGUAGUACGUCCCAAGGGUUGGGCUGUUCGCCCAUGAAAGCGGUACGCGAGCUGGGUUCAGAACGUCGUGAGACAGUUCGGUCCAUAUCCGGUGUAGGCGUUAGAAUAUUGAGAGGAGCCUUCUUUAGUACGAGAGGACCGAGAAGGACAUACCUCUGGUGUACCAGUUAUCGUGCCAACGGUAGACGCUGGGUAGCUAUGUAUGGAGUGGAUAACCGCUGAAAGCAUCUAAGUGGGAAGCCCACCUCAAGAUAAG
Molecule: ribosomal RNA, 1234 nt
Filed under: metagenome
Description: bacterial LSU rRNA
Rfam family: Bacterial large subunit ribosomal RNA
Source: RNAcentral